This 96-nucleotide Y RNA is filed under the name Propithecus coquereli (Coquerel's sifaka). Its description in RNAcentral is "Y RNA (ENSPCOG00000003731.1)". It matches the Rfam family "Y RNA". From Rfam's summary of the family: Y RNAs are components of the Ro ribonucleoprotein particle (Ro RNP), in association with Ro60 and La proteins. Lineage: Eukaryota; Metazoa; Chordata; Mammalia; Primates; Indriidae. The record is from Rfam by way of RNAcentral.
GGCUGGUCCAAUGGUAGUGGGUUGUCAGAACUUAUCAACAUUAGUGUCACUAAAGUUGGUAUACAACCCCCCACUGCUAAAUUUGACUGGCUUUAA